RNAcentral lists this long non-coding RNA (6782 nucleotides) under Setaria italica (foxtail millet). RNAcentral describes it as "long non-coding RNA (SITA_LNC005974)". The record is from RNAcentral. Lineage: Eukaryota; Viridiplantae; Streptophyta; Magnoliopsida; Poales; Poaceae.
UGGCCUUCACAUUCACAACCUCUCCAGAUGACAAGUUUACACUAUAGCUCACUGUGAUGGGUUCAACCUUCUCUUGGACAGUUACAUUCAGAAGGCAAGAAACCAUCCUGUGCCUCCGUUCAGUAGGAAUGUCGAUAGCAGGAUUGGCGAGGAAUGCAAGAACUAUAUGGAGCAAACCAACCUUGAUCACCUUGCUCAAGUUGGCUGUUAUGAAAUGGCCAUUCUCUAAGGUGAAAAAAUCGUUCUUCAUUACUGCUUUGGAUAUUCUCUGAACACCAAUGCUGUCAUAGAUGCUGUUAAGCCUUGCUCGAGACAUGGAAGGUAUGGUAGAUGGAGGAUACCAGAUGAAAAGCGAGUGCUCAGGAAGCUUCUUGAACAAAUCUGUAAGCAGUAGAUCAUCAGGAAUGAACACAUCUUCCUUCUUUGAUAAAGUGAUCUUUCCAUCAAUACAUACUGGGACCUUGACACAACUAGCAAGAAGUUUCUGUGUAUUUUUGCUCCAAUUAGUUGCAAUGAACAUCCAGAAAGCAGAGCAAUCAGGUAUAUCUAGCUCAUGAACAGAUCUCUCCCAUGUGCUCCAUAGAUUGCAGUAGUCUUCAGAAUCAGGUCCAUGCCUCACACCAAAAGCAAGUGAAAAGAAGCCAAGCAACUCCUUGUCAUAAUAUUUGUCUAGGACAUGUAUUUGCUGGCUAAAAAGAUUGUUCUUAUCAGAAAGAACACAACAUCCUGAGCUCACCCAUUCUCCAUCCUCCGUUUCAUUUGGUAUCCAAAUCCAAUUACUGCUUUUGUCUUUCUCAUUUGGUUUCCAGUUGCACUUCAUCAGGUACAAGUAGAUACGGGAAAUAGUAGUUCUAACCUUGUGGCUCCUCAAAUGACGAGCAACAACAUCUUGUCCACAAUUAACAUCCACAGUCACUCCGAUUAUCGCAAGGGAAUCUUUGAAUGAGACUAUCUCUGAGCCAUAGAAAGCUUCAUCAAUGAAAGGACCAUCUUCCAUGCAGAGAGAAGACUGCUUUGCAUCAAAAAGGAUACAUUCAUCAGGACAUUGGUAGCCCAUGGAUGUCUUUAACCACUUCAUGCAAAUCUUGUCCUCAAAGCCCUUAGGAGGUGAAACUGCAGAUUUGAAGUAGCUCCUGAUGCAGGCAAGAAGUGACACAACAGUAGCUUUGGUCAUGGUGGAAGGUGUUAGGAAUAGCACUUGUAUUCAUAACAGGGGCUCUAGGCCCAUAUAUAUACAGGUACAAGAAGGGGAAAAUAUACAGAAAACCCCCUAAUACAAAAGGUAAAUCACCAACAGUACAUAUACAUCUAACACCCCCCCUCAAACUCAUGGUGGGUCAAGAACACUGAGUUUGGAGAGGAAAAAUCUAUGCUGAAUACGAGUCUGGGCCUUGGUAAAGAAAUCAGCCAGCUGCAAUUCGGAAGGCACAUACUGAAGAGCAAUAACCCCAUCCUGAACCUGUGAACAUGUAUAAGAAACAUCCACACCAAUAUGCUUAGUAAGCUCAUGCUUCACUGGAUCGCGAGCAAUACUGAUAGCUCCGGUACUGUCAGACAAAAGAGGAGUCGGCACAGAAACAGAAACACCAAAAUCCUCAAGCAACCACCGUAACCAAGUCACCUCUGCCGUCACAAAUGCCAUAGCACGCAACUCAGCCUCAGCACUCGAACGAGAAACGGCUACCUGCUUCUUAGUCUUCCAAGCAAUAAGGGAACCACCAAGAAAAACACAAUAGGCAGAAAGAGACCGACGAUCAGAAGGAUCACUAGCCCAUGUAGCAUCACAAUAAGCCGUGAGAUGUAAGGAACUAGAGCGUGGAAAGAAUAGACGGCGUGAAAUUGUCCCACGAAGAUAACGUAAGACACGAAGAAGAUGGCUAUAAUGAAGAUGAGAAGGAGCUGAAACAAACUGACUCAGAAUAUGCACAGCAUGAGAGAUAUCAGGACGAGUAACACCAAGAUAAACGAGACUCCCAACAAUAUGACGAUAACGAGUGGGAUCCUCAAGAGGCUCACCAUCAGUGGCGCGAAGAUGAACAUUAAGUUCCAUGGGAGUCUCAACAGUCCGAUGAUCAGUAAGAGAAGCCCGAUCAAGAAGGUCCUGAAUAUACUUUUCUUGAGACAGAUAGAAGCCUUCGGGCAUAGAAGAAACCUCAAUCCCAAGAAAGAAACUAAGAGGACCAAGAUCAGACAUAAGAAACGUCUCACUGAGACGGGCCUUGACAAAGGCAAUAUACUGAGAAUCAUCUCCAGUAAUGAUCAUAUCAUCAACAUAAAGAAGGAGAAGAGUCCGACCUCGAGGUGAAGUAUGUACAAACAAGGCAGGAUCAUGCGCACUAGCAGAAAACCCAGCAGCAGUGACCACGGAGGCAAAGCGCUGAAACCAAGCACGAGGAGCUUGUUUUAGCCCAUAAAGUGAGCGACGAAGACGACAAACCAUACCCUCAGGAACAGAAUACCCAGGCGGCGGCUGCAUAUAAACCUCCUCACGCAGCUCACCAUUAAGAAAGGCAUUCUUGACAUCAAGCUGAGAGACGAACCACCCACGAACAGAGGCCACAGCAAGAAGGGUGCGAACUGUGGUCAUGUGAGCAACAGGAGCAAAAGUCUCAUCAUAGUCACGACCAUGCUCCUGCUGAAAACCACGAGCAACAAGACGAGCUUUAUAGCGCUCAAGAGAGCCAUCAGAGCGAGUCUUGACCUUAUACACCCACUUGCAUGUAAUAGGGCGCACAUUGGCAGGACGAGAAACAAGGUCCCACGUGUGAGUGCGCUCAAGAGCGGCAAUCUCCUCAGCCAUAGCGUGUUGCCAUUCCGGAUGAGGAAGAGCAUCACGAUAAGAGGACGGCUCCGAAAGAAUAGUGGCAGCAUAAGCAGAGGGAGAAUAACAAUCAGGACGCCUAUGAAGACGAUGACUACGACGCAGAAGUGGCUCAGGAGAUGAAUCCUCUGAAAAAGAAGCCUCAGUAGGAGAAUAAGGCAUAUCAGACGAAGAGGGCACAAUAGAAGAUGGCACAUCAGAAGAAGAUGGCACAUCAGAAGGCCGAACUCUACGAGUAUAGACAUGUGUCACCGGGGGCUUCACAGAAAAAUCAGUAGGACAUUCCAGAGAAGUAGACUCCGGGGGAAGUACAUCAGCACGAUGAGUAGGCGAGGAGACUACAGGGGGGACCACCGGAGGACGUGAUAAAGGGGUGAUAGCAAUAGAAGUAUCAGGUAAUAUUAAGAAGGAAAGGGGAUCGACCAAAGACGCCGGGGAAACAUCAGAAGAAGGACGAGGAUAGAAAGAACGAGAUUCAUCAAAAAUAACAUCCCGAGAAAUCCGCAUCCUACGCCCAACUGGGUCCCAACAACGAUAUCCCUUAUGCUCAGAACUAUAGCCGAGAAAAACACACUCGACAGAUUGAGCAGUCAGCUUCGUGCGCUCACGAGGUGCAAGAAGCACAUAGCACACACAACCAAAAAGACGAAGACUAGAGUAGUCAGGCACCUUAUUUAGAAGACGCUCAAAAGGAAUCUCACCAUGAAGCGCAGAAGAAGGUUGAAUGUUAGUCAAGUAAGUGGCUGUAGACACAGCCUCAGCCUAAAAGUGAGGCGGAACAGAAGAAGCAAGCAGAAGAGCACGAGCAGUCUCAAGGAGAUGACGAUGCUUGCGUUCGGCCACACCAUUCUGAGCAUGGGCGUCAGGACAAGAAAACUGAGCAAGAGUGCCCUGCUCAGAGAGAACCUGACGAAGAGUUACGGAAAGGUACUCGCCAGCAGAGUCAGCACGAAAGACACGGAUAGAAGUGUCAAAAUGAGUGCGAAUCAUAGAAGUAAAAGACUUAUAGAUGGAUAAGGCCUCGGUACGGUGGUUCAUAAAAUAAAUCCAUGUAUGACGAGAAAAAUCAUCUAUGAAUAUAAUAUAGUAUCGAUGGCCCCCUUUAGAAACAAAGGGAGCAGGACCCCAGACAUUCGAAUGAACAAGAUCAAAAGGACGCUGUGACACAGACUCACUAGAAUGAUAGGGAAGCUGAAUUUGCUUGCCCAACCGACAACCCUGACACUGAGCUAAGGACUCAUGACCUGAAACAGAACCUAGAAGACCACGACGAAUCAAACUAGAUAGACAGGAGCCACAUAGAUGACCCAAGCGAUGAUGCCACUGAUCAAAAGAUGUGGUCGACGAAGCAGCCAAAGCGGAGCCAACUAGACUGACGGGCGCAGCGGAAGGAAGACGAAGCCAGUCAAGCUCCCAAAGACGCUGAGAAUCACGACGACGAGGGCCAGUACCAACCAGCUGACCCGUGCGACGAUCCUGAACAUAACAAAUAUCAGGAUCAAGAAUGACACGACAGUUAUGAUCAGUAAGCUGGCCAGCGGACAUGAGCUGCAUGGUCAGAUCGGGAACAUAAGAAACAUUAGGGACAUGAAAGGAGUCAGAUAGGAGAGUGCCAUGUCCGACAACAGGAAGAGAAGAACCAUCGGCUGUAUGAACAGUAGGAGAACCAGGUGGAGACCGUAUGGAAGAAAGACAGGUGCAAUCAGGAGUCAUAUGAAACGAAGCACCAGAAUCAAGAAUCCAUGGACAAAUACCUGGAGUAGACGUGGAAGGUGAUCCCAAAGCGGAAGACUGCGAAGCAGCAGCAGAACCUAUAGGUGCAGAGGGCUGAGUCACAGAACCCGCAGCACCUGGUGACGUAGAGGUAACAAGGCGACUGAGCAACCUGAUGAUCUCCUGUGUCUCAGAACCAGCAGAACUCCUCUGAGGACUGCCAGAACCAGAACCACCAGUAGCACUAGCACUCAGCGAAGAACGAGCAGAACCAGCAGGAGCACUAGGACCCUGUGAAGAACGUCCACCGCGGCGAGACUGACCCUCACGAGACUGAGCCUUCUUCUUCCUGUAACAAAAGGCCUCCACAUGAUUAUCCUUGCCACACCAAUCACAUUUAAGACCACCCCCUCGACUCUCGGAAGAAGGCACCGCAGGACGAGUAGAGGAGCUGACAGCCAAAACGGAAGAAUAUCGCAUCAAUCCAGCAGUAAGAAGGCGAGUCUCCUCAUUACGAACAGCAGCAAGAGCCUCCAUCAGGGAGACACAGGGAUGUCGAGCAAGCAGCUGUGCAUGAAGGGGCUCAAACUCAUCCCGAAGGCGUGUCAAGAAGUCGUAGGUGCGACGAAGCUCAAGAGCCUGCUGCUGACCCAGGCAGGACUGGCAGGUGCUAGGAGACAAUGGAGGACUAAGAGUGUCGAGCUGGCGCCAAAUAGUAGAAAUCUGACCAUAGAAAUCAUCAACGGUACCAUCACCCUGUCGAACGAGCUGCUCCUGACGAAUGGCUGCAAGAAAAGUAGAUUGACCAGUGGGCUCAUAACGUGUGCGAAGAAAAGCCCACAUCUGAUGUGCAAAAUCAAGCUCAAUAAUAUCAGCCGAAACCCUGUCGUCAAUGCUAGCAACGAGAAUAGAAGCAGCUCGAGCAUCCUCAUCAACCCAUGUCCGGUAUGCAGUAAACUGAGACUCAUAGGAUGCAAGGCCAUCAUCAUAAUCAGCAAGGAGCUUCGCCACAUCUGUAUCAUGAGUAGCAAGCAACCGAUCCAUCUCGUCAGCCGUAGCCUUCUCUGGAAUCACUGGCUUCGCAGGAAGCACCGGGUAUGUAGGAGCAGUAGGACGAGGUGGACAAGGCAACUCGCCAGUAAGAAACUCCCAAAGACGAAGACCACGCAUAUGAAUCCGUAGACGAGGAACCCAAUCGCGAUAGUUGUUGCCAUUGAAUAGGACCGGGCAACGUAACACUGGGACACCACCAGACGAAGGAGCCGAAGGAGCCAUGGCGACGGCGAGAGCGCAAGUAAAACAGCGGCGGGCGACGGCGAGAGCGCAGAAGAAAAGCGGCGCAAGCUUCUUUUUUUUUUUUCCUCUGAAACGCACGUGCACAGUACAAAGCAGCGGCGCACAGUUUUUUUUUUGUUUUUUUACUUUUUUUUUUUACUUUUUUUUUUACCAAACUCCUUCAGGAGUCCUUAUCCGGGCACGCGCACCACACCGCACAGCACAGGCGGCGACGCAAGCAGCGGGACAGCGCGGGCGUCAAAUCCGCCGGGCGGCGAGGCCGGUGGGGCGGCGCGGACGGCGAAAGGCGAGGCCGGUGGGGCGCCGAGGCUGCGCGGGCGGCGGAAACGGCGAAUCCGCGGCGGCAGCACGGGCGGCGGGCGGCGAGGCCGGCGGGGCACCGGGGCGGCACGGGCGUCGAGACCGCCGGGGCGGCGCGGGCGGCGGGCGGCGAGACCGCCGGGGCGGCGCGGGCGGCGGGCGACGAGACCGCCGGGGCGGCGCGGGCGGCGGGCGGCGAGACCGCCGGGGCAGCGUGGGAUGAGGACGAAUCCGGCGGGUGGAGAGCCAGACGGGCGGCGGCCGGAGCUGAUGAAGAAGAAGAGCACGCAAGUGCAACGUGCGGGGGAAAAAAAAGGAACCCUAAGGCAGAUUGGGAAGAAAUCUAACCCUAGUUCGGCUCUAAUACCAUGUUAGGAAUAGCACUUGUAUUCAUAACAGGGGCUCUAGGCCCAUAUAUAUACAGGUACAAGAAGGGGAAAAUAUACAGAAAACCCCCUAAUACAAAAGAUAAAUCACCAACAGUACAUAUACAUCUAACAGAAGGAUUACUAGGAAUUGUGAGACCUGAAAUGGCAAAUCUAGCACCAUUUUUCGCUUCAACAGUGACACCCAAUUCCUUAAGCUCAUCUUCGUAGCCAUAAAUAUCAUGUCCUAAACCAUGAAAAGAGUCACCAUCAUCUAUGAAUGGUAA